AACAAAGCGAUGAUCAGAACCAGUAACAGGGAAAUCCGUUUCAGAGAGCUGCAGCAAGGUGAAAUGCAGCACGGCAAAAUCUGUGAACUCCUCUGCUAGCUGCCAACCGAAAUUGGCUCUUACAGCUAAAAUUAGGCCUGGACGGAGACUUCCGUUAUUACAAAGAGUGGACGGUAGUAGUCUUGCCGUCAAAAAGAGUGGUACCACGAAUACGGCUUUCGUCUCUUUG
Molecule: non-coding RNA, 229 nt
Filed under: Bacillota bacterium
Lineage: Bacteria; Bacillati; Bacillota
Description: Firmicutes bacterium T-box sequence
Rfam family: T-box leader
About the family: Uncharged tRNA acts as the effector for transcription antitermination of genes in the T-box leader family. T-boxes are found upstream of many aminoacyl-tRNA synthetase genes and some amino acid biosynthetic genes usually in Gram-positive bacteria. The anticodon of a specific tRNA base pairs to a specifier sequence within the T-box motif, and the NCCA acceptor tail of the tRNA base pairs to a conserved bulge in the T-box antiterminator hairpin.
Source: RNAcentral